UCCACCCUCCCGCUCGCUUCCUAGCCUCGUCGCCAUGGCGUCCUGGCUGACGUCGUGGAUGCCAAGCCCAUGCCUGCGUUGAAAGAGAGGGAGACCAGAGACACCCAGUGGCCCUGGCGGUAGUAGUGCCAAGGUUCUAUUCACUGUGAGUCCGCGACGCGCCAUGGAUCGCGUGCAGCCGACGAUUCCUCCGCUGCCAUCUGCCCACAAACAGACGACUCUGACGGCGAAUUGGAGCGCUUCGAGAGCGGCGACGCGUUCAAUGUUCCGGUUAGAUGGGAUCUUUGGCGAUCGAAGCUUGCUAGCAACUUUCACGGAUGUAGCUUCCAUACGAAGACAUGGCACCUCUUCAGGCAGCAGUUGCCGUUGUUCAAAGAGAUGCUGGCAGAAAGAUCCUGCUCUAAGACCAACCUUUGCAGAGAUUAUGGAUACACCAAACUCUAUAAAGGAGGUGGUUCGGAGUUCUGUGCAUCACAAGAGGCAUUUAGGUCGAUCUCACUCUUCUUCGAGUUUAUGCGCGCUGCCCAGGACAACAUCACAGCGCUGAUGGAGUUGGACGGUGUCAUCAGGCUCGACUGGAUCUAGAUGGGAUGGACCCUGCUUGCGCUGAAGGAGAGAGAGAGGGCGUACUUGGCUUGCAGGGGAUCGUAGUAAGGUUCAUCUUUUUCAUGGGUCAUGUCAGAUUACACAACUUCAGUUAUUUCAGUCUUUGCGAGAGAAGUACCAAAAUAAUUUUACUUCAUGGCUACUCUCAGAUGUGUUCAUGUCGCUACCACUAAUCAUAUAAGGGUAACAAUGUAUUUGUUAGCAAACAAUUUUUGAGAUAUUAAAGUCGGUGGUAAUAUAAGUGUUGUUUGUUUUUAUAUAA
Molecule: long non-coding RNA, 868 nt
Organism: Zea mays
Lineage: Eukaryota; Viridiplantae; Streptophyta; Magnoliopsida; Poales; Poaceae
Exons: 4
Source: RefSeq, a predicted model, not a curated record